ACAGCGUAUGUAAAAUCAUUUAUUGGUUGAGGACGUAUUAUAGUUGACAUGGCCUUUCUAGCAGGCUUGGUGGUUAAUAUUAACAGUACAGCUUCCUACUUCCUCUACUCUUUAGUCUCAGACAUGGAGCUUCACCAUUCAAAAAAAAAUAAUCAAAAUCAUCUUUACAUUUACUUGAUACACACAGGUGUUUGUGUGUGUGUGUGACGGUGUGGAAUGUGUGUGAGGGUUAAACAUUAUGAGAUGGUCAACUAUAACAAUAUACAUGAUUAAGAUCAGAUUAUGGACAGAGCAGAGCACAGAGCCAGGUUACUAUAGCCUGGGUUAUACCCUAUGGGCCCUGGUCAACAGGAAGCACACCAUAUAAGGAACAGGGAACCAUUUGGGAUUCAGACAUUAUAGUUAAGCAGACAGCAUCACUCCAAAUAACCUUAGUCAGCCAAUCACAUCGCUCUAUCCCACCCACAGAAUCAAGGCUGACUAACUGGCUGGUUCACCAGAUGUGAUUAAGAAACUAAACACGAGCAUCGUAUUGGUCCAGACAAACCACAUGAUCUCAACACGAGGACUUCCUACUCCAGAUUACCACAUUAACAACACACAGGACCAGUUUCCGGGACACAGAUUCAGCAGUUUUGGUCCAGUAGGAUUCAUGUGAGUCCAGGAGGCCAGCCUGUAAUUAAGCAAUAAGGCACGGAGAGGGGGUGGUAUAGUGCCAAUAUACCACAGCUAAGGGCUGUUCUUAUGCACGACGCAGCGUGGAGUGCCUUGACACAGCCCUUAGCCGUGGUAUAUUGGCCAUAUAAACCCCCGAGGUGCCUUAUUGCUAUUAGAAACUGGUUACCAAUGUAAUUAAAGCAGUACAAAUUAAAUGUUGUGUCAUACCCGUGGUAUACGGUCUGAUGUACCACGGCUGUCAGCCAAUCAGCAUUCAGGGCUUGAACCACCCAGUUUGUAAUUCUCUAUAAAUGGUGAGUGUCAACAUCAGGCUGUAUUUUGUCUGUUUUACAGCAGGCUAGUGUUCUCCGGAGAAUCCAGCUGAGUUUAACACAGCAUGCUGGUUUUCUUCCAUAGUGAGUAGCAUGCCAGGGCUAGGAGCCGGUUCCAGACCACUGUGUGUGUGUGUGGUGUGUUGCUCUCUCCUGUGUCUCUCUCAUUACCAUGACAUUCCUUCACACAGACACUUGACGGCCAUCUUUCCUUGUUCCAUCGCCAUAAGCAACAACAGCCCAGCAGAGAGAAGGAACACAGUGCACAUCAAAAAUGACGACAUUGUACUCUUACUCUCGACAUUGUAUUCUUCAAAUUAAAAAAACAAGUGUAAUGAACCCAGAUGUUGUUUUCUGUCUAAUCUAACCUACUCUCUGACAGGAUAUGUGUAAUCUAAAGAGAAUAUAGUGACAUGGAGUGGCAUCUCCUCACAAGUCCAGUAUGUAUGUAAGCGCUGCAUAUUAGUCUUUGGCAUGGUUCAGUAUCGGAGAAGCCCAUUGGUUGAGCUGACGUUCACGCCAGACCAAUAACAGGAGAGCAGAAGAUCAGGUCAAUGCUUCAUCGUCGUGGAUUAAAAACCUCGUAUUUACCUGGUUAAAUAACAUCCACAUACGUUUCCCAGUGACAUAGAGGGACAUAAAAUAAAACCAUUAAAUCGGAGUCUGAAUCGAUUUAGAAAAAAAAACUGUUUUGAUUGAAAGAGAUCCACCGUAUUAUCAAUUGUAAGACUUUAAUUCUUUAAGACUUUAAAUUCUUUACGACAGUAUUAAGACAUCUAUAAACGUUCUUCAGGGCUUGAGACUUUUUCAGAGAGAGGCAGCUGUUCUCAUACACUCCUCAGAGUACACUACAGCUGCACCAACCCACCACAUCCACCCCAGGAGGUUAAACAGACAGCCCUACCAGGACAAUCCACCCCAGGAGGUUAAACAGAUAGCCCUACCAGGACAAUCCACCCCAGGAGGUUAAACAGACAGCCCUACCAGGACAACCCACCACAUCCACCCCAGGAGGUUAAACAGACAGCCCUACCAGGACAACCCACCACAUCCACCCCAGGAGGUUAACAGACGGCCCUACCAGGACAACCCACCACAUCCACCCCAGGAGGUUAACAGACAGCCCUACCAGGACAACCCACCACAUCCACCCCAGGAGGUUAACAGACAGCCCUACCAGGACAACCCACCACAUCCACCCCAGGAGGUUAAACAGACAGCCCUACCAGGACAAUCCACCCCAGGAGGUUAAACAGACAGCCCUACCAGGACAAUCCACCCCAGGAGGUUAAACAGACAGCCCUACCAGGACAACCCACCACAUCCACCCCAGGAGGUUAAACAGACAGCUCUACCAGGACAACCCACCACAUCCACCCCAGGAGGUUAACAGACAGCCCUACCAGGACAACCCACCACAUCCACCCCAGGAGGUUAACAGACAGCCCUACCAGGACAACCCACCACAUCCACCCCAGGAGGUUAACAGACAGCCCUACCAGGACAACCCACCACAUCCACCCCAGGAGGUUAACAGACAGCCCUACCAGGACAACCCACCACAUCCACCCCAGGAGGUUAAACAGACAGCCCUACCAGGACAACCCACCACAUCCACCCCAGGAGGUUAACAGACAGCCCUAACAGGACAACCCACCACAUCCACCCCAGGAGGUUAAAUAGACAGCCCUACCAGGACAACCCACCACAUCCACCCCAGGAGGUUAACAGACAGCCCUACCAGGACAACCCACCACAUCCACCCCAGGAGGUUAAACAGACAGCCCUACCAGGACAACCCACCACAUCCACCCCAGGAGGUUAAACAGACAGCCCUACCAGGACAACCCACCACAUCCACCCCAGGAGGUUAAACAGACAGCCCUACCAGGACAACCCACCACAUCCACCCCAGGAGGUUAAACAGACAGCCCUACCAGGACAACCCACCACAUCCACCCCAGGAGGUUAAACAGACAGCCCUACCAGGACAACCCACUACAUCCACCCCAGGAGGUUAAACAGACAGCCCUACCAGGACAACCCACCACAUCCACCCCAGGAGGUUAAACAGACAGCCCUACCAUCACAUCAACCUCUCUCUUCCCCCUGUGUAGGAAGCACUGAUCAGAACCAAGAGCUUUCAGAACCAAGAGAUACAGCAGUCUAGCUAGGGAGGCCUGUCCCGUACCACUGUAGGGGUUGGAGGUCAGGGCCUUAUACCACUGUAGGGUUAGAGGUCAGAGGUUAGGAUAGUAUGUUUAAAACCAUGGUUACUUGGUUAGAUUACAGUACUGUUCAUGUUGCUCUAAACACAGUAAAAAAAAAA
Molecule: non-coding RNA, 3318 nt
Organism: Oncorhynchus mykiss (rainbow trout)
Lineage: Eukaryota; Metazoa; Chordata; Actinopteri; Salmoniformes; Salmonidae
Source: RefSeq, a predicted model, not a curated record